GAGGCGAAGAGCUCCAAUCUUCCAGUGCAUAAAGAUUGGGACGAGGGUCGUCCGCGCUCUCCGACCAAGUUUCAGGAGGCCGAGUCUCCUUUCGGCUGAAAUCGUCGUGCGAGGGGGCAUCAAAUUUGGGGUUCGAGUGAUUUUUUACGGGAGAUCUCGGAAUAAAGUUUCUUCGAGCUUACCGUCCGAUAAUAGUGGAGCACCUGAAAUUUCCAAAAUCCGAUAAAUAAUUACACUGCGCCGAGAUUGAAUUCCGUGGCAGUUCGGGCCUCGAGAAACUACUUUGAUUACUAAAAAAAGGAGGAUAUAAAAAGCUCCGGUUUCCGGGCUCGAGUAACGCGCCUCGACGAAUUCGUAAAUACGCAGCCUCAUAGCCAAGUCGCUUAGUCGAUAGUUUUUUCCUCUAUUCUUCGACAUUUUCGAUCUCUACUUUUUUUUCCUUCACUUCGUCUUUUAGUCGCUCGAGCAUCACUUUUUUUCGAGAGCCCCCCCCCGCGGCGGCGUCAGCGACGAAAAGUUUCGCCUCGGAUUCCUUUCACGAUCUUGUAAAGUUUACAACGAGCCACGAGACGCGCGCGACACGCCCUUUAUCGAAAGCUGCGUCUUUUAUUAUCCUCCUUUUCAAGCUCUUCUUCUAUUUUUUCUUAUCGGCGCUGCAAUAUCGGAAAGAUUUCACUCCCCUCCCCCGGCCCCCGUUGAAAUGGCUCCGGGACGCGUUGAAACGACAUACGUACCAGAAGUGGAGGAGCAUGCUCGAAGGGAACAGGAACGCCGGGUCGUUCAAGAGGGCACUGCCGUGUGGAGACGUCGGAAAGAGGAGCUCCAGCGGCAAAGAUAUCGCGAACAACGCGAAUUACGCCAAAUGCAGAUGAACUACUCGCCAUGGGGUAAGCCCGGUGGUGGGGCCCCGUAUGCCGGCUCCAUGCGAAAGAAAAACGUUCUAUUGGAGCCUUUGGACUUCGCUAAAACUUGUGGCUACACUAAUCAGCUGGCGCAACCCACGUCACCGUGGGGUCGUCCCGGUCCUGGCGGAGUUCCAUGGAGGGAUCCAAAGUUGCUGGGAGUGCGAUUUCGCGAGUCCAUGGGUUGGACGAGUGGUUCCCUGAUCGCGAGACUUCGCGAUAGUAAAACGGAAAUCGAUCCUCUCGCACCCGUCGAUACGAACACGUUCUUCGACAACGCUUCGAGACCCGAUACAGCACCGGAUCUACGUACGGACAAAUCGAAUGUCGACGGGGAUGAUGGAAUAAAUCGUGACGCCCGAAAAAACGAUUAUCGGGAAGAAGUUCAAGUUUACAAACUCACUGGGGGCGUCGAAUUGGUGCCUCUGUUGACGAGAUAUCAUUAUUCACCACCUCACGGCUCACGUUUCAUCGCCACGGAUGCUACUCGUCCUGGAUAUGUGAUAGACAGCACCGUCACGAGAAUUGUAGGAUGCAAAACUUGUUGAAGGGAAAUUUGCACCUGAUUUGGGUCGUACGUGGGGGUUAUUGCACCGCAAACAAAACGCAUCCGAUCGUGCCCCACAAACAAGUACUCCUCGGCGCAAUAUCGACUCCUGUAAUACUCAGCUUUUUUCGAUAUUACCGACAUUUGAUGGAUAGUUACGCAAAAGUUACUGGGACAAAAUAUAUACACAGAGAAAACCGAUUCCUUUUGUACAGUGAGGAAUAUAUUAUUUUUCAAGAAUCUUCAAAGUGUUUAAGCACCGAUUACAAACAGCAUAGUAUUUUUUGAAUUUUGACAUUU
This 1749-nucleotide unclassified non-coding RNA is filed under the name Venturia canescens. RNAcentral describes it as "uncharacterized LOC122405576, transcript variant X5". Lineage: Eukaryota; Metazoa; Arthropoda; Insecta; Hymenoptera; Ichneumonidae. The record is from RNAcentral.